RNAcentral lists this ribosomal RNA (243 nucleotides) under uncultured bacterium. Its description in RNAcentral is "partial 16S ribosomal RNA". It matches the Rfam family "Bacterial small subunit ribosomal RNA", at positions 524 to 762 of the family's 1533-position model. The record is from RNAcentral.
UACGUAGGAGGCGAGCGUUGUCCGGAAUUACUGGGCGUAAAGCGCGCGUAGGCGGUAGGGUGCGACCGGUGUGAAAGCCCCCCGGCUCAACUGGGGGAGGGUCACGGGUAACGGCUCUACUUGGAGUGCAGGAGAGGGAAGUGGAACUCCGGGAGUAGCGGUGAAAUGCGUAGAUACCCGGAGGAACACCAGUGGCGAAGGCGGCUUCCUGGCCUGUGACUGACGCUGAGGCGGCGAAAAGCU